RNAcentral lists this ribosomal RNA (241 nucleotides) under Actinomycetota bacterium. Its description in RNAcentral is "partial 16S ribosomal RNA". It matches the Rfam family "Bacterial small subunit ribosomal RNA", at positions 1282 to 1533 of the family's 1533-position model. The record is from RNAcentral. Lineage: Bacteria; Bacillati; Actinomycetota.
GGCAUCACAGUUCGGAUUGAGGUCUGCAACUCGACCUUAUGAAGCUGGAAUCGCUAGUAAUCGCGCAUCAGCCACGGCGCGGUGAAUACGUUCCCGGACCUUGUACACACCGCCCGUCAAGCCAUGGGAGUCGGGGGGACCUGAAGCUCCGCCUAAAAACGGGGUAAGGGUAAACCCGGUGACUGGGGCUAAGUCGUAACAAGGUAGCCGUACCGGAAGGUGCGGCUGGAACACCUCCUUU